Talpa occidentalis (Iberian mole) is the source of this 1163-nucleotide long non-coding RNA. RefSeq lists it as uncharacterized. The record is from RefSeq and is a predicted model, not a curated record. The transcript has 5 exons. NCBI's taxonomy places the organism in Eukaryota, Metazoa, Chordata, Mammalia, Eulipotyphla, Talpidae.
GCUGGGGGUGGCGGGGUAUGGAAAUUACCAGAAGUGGGCAGCUGUGGAGGUGUCUUCUGGAGAGGAGAAGAGAUAUACAUGCCAUGUGCAGCAUGAGGGGCUGAUAGCACCCCGAGUCCUGAGAUGGGGUAAGGAGGGGGAUAUGGGCACACGGCUGACUCAGGGGCAUCAGAAGCCCUUCUGGAGACCUUCAGAGGAUCACACUGAGGCCUCAGGUUCAGGGUCUGACCUUCUCUUCCAUUCCAGUUCCCCCUCCUCAGUUCUCCAUCCUUGCUGUCGUCCUCAUUUCCAGCUUGGUUCUCUUUGGAGGUGUGCUCACUGGACACAAGGUGGCUUCAUGUGAGGGGCUAGAAGAAGUGCUCAGGAGGACAAGGAGGAAGCUACACUCAGGCUGCAACAGCCACAGUCCCAGUGCUCUGAAAUGUAUCUCAGCCCCUAAAAGAGUCGCCCUCUCUGCAGUGUCUCUACUCAGCAGUUUCUCAGCAGCCCCAGGAGUCCCUGCACCUCCUGCCUCUGACCUUAUGGGAAACCAGCCUCUCAGCCUGCAUGACAGUGAGGAGGCGAAGGCAAAGUCCUGAGGGGCAGGACCAAUCUGCUAUCCAUUGAAAAGAGAGGUUCCAGGUUACCGCCCCGCCCAAGGAAAGGUGGAUCUGAGCAGUGAUGAGAAGCUAAGGAAGAGGAGGAAGAUGUGGAGUAAGAUGAGGAAAGGAGACUGGAGGGGGAGCAUGGAGCAAAGAGACAUGUUAAGAAGAAACCACACUUGCUUCUCACUUGGACUUGUGCCAGGGAGUUGGGGACAUGGAAAGAAACAUGUGAAAGAGACAAAAAUGUGAAUGAGAGACCCAUCAGGAGGCUGACAAUGGCAGCUGUUAUCUUGAUGUGGAUUUUGAUUUUGUUCUUGUCCUUCCAGACUCACCUGGCCCUUCCUGCCCCUUUCCCAUGGGUCUCUACCAGUAGGUGCCUCAGCCUUGUGGCAGGCGUUCAGGCCCCAAUGGGCCUGCUUUGGGCCAAGCCUGUUUGGCUGGGCAUUUACCCAUGAGGGGGAUGGGUAACUUUGAGUGCUUCACUUGGGAACUAUUCUAACUAUAUUCUUUCUCUUCUCUCUCUCUAUUGCACACUGAUUUUUUAUUUUAUACUAAUUGUAUUAAAGUGCUUUUCUAUUG